Molecule: ribosomal RNA, 540 nt
Filed under: Triticum aestivum (bread wheat)
Lineage: Eukaryota; Viridiplantae; Streptophyta; Magnoliopsida; Poales; Poaceae
Description: partial small subunit ribosomal RNA
Source: RNAcentral
AUGGAGGGCCUUCUACAUUGGGACUUCUCGCCUGGCCUCGCGGUCGCGGCUCAGGUGCGUCGAUGUUUUGGAUCUUCUGUUCAUUUCUCCCCCGAUGGACCGACCAAGGAGUUUUUCUUGGUUGUGUACUUUUCGUCGGCCUCCUUCUCUUUGUCUGAGGAAUCAGUGGCCAUUGCUCUACAAUGCUGCAUCGGAGGUCUACGUUCUGGUCUAAAUGUGCAACAUAUUGAGGGUCGAUCUUUUCGCUUUUCUAUUGUGUCCAAUCGUGUGGGACAUUAUAUCUAUGGCCUCAAGGAUCAAGUUUGGCCGGACUUUGUUUGUCAUUUUCAACUCUAUCGCCCUGGUUACACUCGAUCAAGGUGUUUGGACAAUGUUUGGCACUCUGAUGUUCAUAGCCCUGAGGUUGCUUCUCGUUCCCCGAUUGCGAUAAAAGCAAACCUCUCCUUCCUUGCCAAUGGACAUGCUAAUUAUAAUAGUGCACUUGAGGAAUGCCAAAAGUUUGAUCUUAUUUGGCCAUUGACCAUGGUGGCCGCGCCGUAA